UGUGUUUCAAACAUUUUCAUAUAAAUUACCAAUUUCGCCUCCUACAUUAGCACUUUUUAUCGCCUACAUGUUUGACCGGCGCUACGCCCCCUCUACUGUCAACACCUACGUCUCGGCUCUCGGCUAUUCCCACAAAUUAAUGGGAUUGAUGAAUCCCACUAAAAUAUUUUACAUUGUGCAAAUGUUGAAAGGCUAUGGCAAACAGGGUUUUCGUUUGGACGCUAGGUUGCCUAUUACGCUAAAGAUUUUAAAUCGAUUAGUAAUGGCUGUGCCACACUGUGUCGCUACGUACUACGACCAGUGCCAAUUUCGUGCGAUGUGUGCUCUAGCAUUCUUCGCAUUUUUGCGCGUGGGUGAGAUCACCGCAACAUCACAGGCGGGCAAUUGCCCUAUACAGGUAAACCAGCUCACCAAACUCUCAAGAGAUGGUGAAGUGAUUGGUUACAAAUUAAUAUUUGCUGAUUACAAGCAUAACUACAAUCAGCGACCAUUUACUAUGGUCAUCAACCGGCAAACAAGCGCUUGCCCUGUACAAUUAUUAUCAACAUAUUUAAAUCAUCGUG
Molecule: non-coding RNA, 563 nt
Organism: Paramuricea clavata
Lineage: Eukaryota; Metazoa; Cnidaria; Anthozoa; Malacalcyonacea; Plexauridae
Source: the annotation of a GenBank genome assembly